UGUUCAGGGGAUGGGUAUCCAAUCCCUACAGCAUAUCAGUGAUGAUCAGGGAGAUUAGCUGAAGAUAAGUAAAAAACAACUGACCAGUCUAGAAAAGCCAUCAGUAAAAACAGAUCACAGGAGACUUUUGUGGCAGGAAUCCACUCCUAUGUUCCUGGUAAUCUGAUCCUGCUCCAUGAGGAUUAAUAUAUCUUUCAAGUAUCAACCCACGAGGAUUAACGGAGCAGUAUCAGGUUAUCAGGAACAUAGUAGUGGAUUCCUGUCCCAACUAAAUUGAU
This 278-nucleotide long non-coding RNA is filed under the name Homo sapiens (human). RNAcentral's name for it is "non-protein coding lnc-BORA-24:1". The record is from RNAcentral. Lineage: Eukaryota; Metazoa; Chordata; Mammalia; Primates; Hominidae.